This 440-nucleotide ribosomal RNA is filed under the name uncultured bacterium. Its description in RNAcentral is "partial 16S ribosomal RNA". It matches the Rfam family "Bacterial small subunit ribosomal RNA", at positions 338 to 795 of the family's 1533-position model. The record is from RNAcentral.
CCUACGGUAGGCAGCAGUGGGGGAUAUUGCACAAUGGGGGGAACCCUGAUGCAGCGACGCCGCGUGGGUGAAGAAGCGCCUCGGCGCGUAAAGCCCUGUCAGCAGGGAAGACAAUGACGGUACCUGAAGAAGAAGCCCCGGCUAACUACGUGCCAGCCGCCGCGGUAAUACGUAGGGGGCAAGCUUUAGCCGGAUUUACUGGGUGUCAAGGGGGCGCAGACGGCGAUGCAAGCCAGGAGUGAAAGCCCGGGGCCCAACCCCGGGACUGCUCUUGGAACUGCGUGGCUGGAGUGCAGGAGGGGCAGGCGGAAUUCCUGGUGUAGCGGUGAAAUGCGUAGAUAUCAGGAGGAACACCGGUGGCGAAGGCGGCCUGCUGGACUGCAACUGACGUUGAGGCCCGAAAGCGUGGGGAGCAAACAGGAUUAGAUACCCGAGUAGUC